ACAUCUCAGUUCGGAUUGUAGUCUGCAACUCGACUACAUGAAGCUGGAAAUCGCUAGUAAUCGCGAAUCAGAAUGUCGCGGUGAAUACGUUCCCGGGUCUUGUACACACCGCCCGUCACACCAUGGGAGUUGGGAAUGCCCGAAGCCGGUGACCUAACCGCAAGGAAGGAGCCGUCGAAGGCAGGCUUGAUAACUGGGGUGAAGUCGUAACAAGGUACC
Molecule: ribosomal RNA, 219 nt
Filed under: uncultured bacterium
Lineage: Bacteria
Description: partial 16S ribosomal RNA
Rfam family: Bacterial small subunit ribosomal RNA
Source: RNAcentral